Molecule: unclassified non-coding RNA, 2395 nt
Filed under: Daphnia pulex (common water flea)
Lineage: Eukaryota; Metazoa; Arthropoda; Branchiopoda; Diplostraca; Daphniidae
Description: transcription termination factor 4, mitochondrial- like, transcript variant X7
Source: RNAcentral
GCCUUUCAACCUGAACAGACGAUAUCCACCGUUCAAAAAAAAAACACAGCACUUGUUUACCAGUUCGUGUUCACAACAAAUUUGUAUUCGCAAGAAAACAAAAAACGUAAGGAAUUUAAACGAAGAUAGGAUUCUCAUCGAUUCACCAUGCUGCGGAAGUCAUUCUCUCAUGUGUUAAAUGUUCACAAGAAAUCAGGAAAUAGGUGGAGUAAAACCAUACUGGCUCGCCUUAACACUAAACCAGAAGAAAUAGAAGACAUGCAAAAUUCUCUUGGUCAACAAGUUUGGGAGGAUUCUCUACGGAAGUUUCAAGAUUUGGGUUUCUCUUUGAAGCAAACUACAAAAAUGCUUCUUGACAAUCCACUGUUACCAAGCUAUCAGACUGAUAAGCUAUGCCACAGCUUUGACGUGUUGAAAUCUGUUGGUUUUAAAACCGAAGAAAUUAAAGAAGUUCUUGUUCAGGAACCCAAAAUCUUUGAUCGUGAUCCUCGAAUAUUGAAGAAGAACCAUUUAAAUUUAACAAAGCAGUUAGGCGACCAUCAAGGAAGAAUUGCAGCACUUGCUGCACCCAACACCUUGAUUGACAACAGUUUAAUCACUAACCAAAAAAUUGACUAUUGCAUUAUGGAGAUGUUGAUCAACAAACCUACUAUUGCCAAAUCAAAAAUUCUCAAGUGCCCUUACAUCUUGAUUAAGACCCGGCAUAAGUUUGCCUAUAGGUCAGGCUUCUAUAAGAAAAUCGAUCCAAAGAACAAAGAAGGAUUGGCAAAUAAUCCAAGUAUUCCUGACCUAUUUUUUUCUUCUGACAAAAUUUUUCUGUCCCAAUUCAAAGGCUUUAGUCUUGAAGACUAUGUCGUUUUCGAAGAGAUGAUGAUGAGUGAAGAAGAUAGUUUCAAUGAUGAAAAUGAGAAGGCCGAUGACAAAGACGACCAGACAGAUGAAGAUCCAGAUGAUGAAAAUGUUUCAAAAGGAAAAAAAAACUACUCUCGUCGCAAAUAAUUUUGUUCAUAGCAUAGAACUUUUCAAAUUAAGGAUUAAAUACAACAUUGGUAACCACUAACCAGCAAAAAAGCUUGGGUGUGUUGUAUUAAACAGUAGUUUCAGACGAACAAAGCUGAACAAUUUUGAAACAAAGACUGGCGAACUAUUUUUAAAAAAUGGAAUGCAAAAAAUGUUUAGCCUACCCCAAAAAUUCGGAAUUUCAACAACAGUGGGCGAACGACUUCUUCACAAUUAAGCUUUUAAUUCAACGAAUUAGGAUUCGGUAUUCUACUGCUUGCCAUUGUUCAAAUCUGCGAAAAAAGAACAAGUUGAUUAUCGAUACAGCUGUCUAUUAAGUAUAAAAUGUUUUACUAACGGGAUUUAGAAGUUGAUUUAUCCGAUCGUUUGGCUUUGGUUUCAGUAAUUUUUUUAUGUUUCUUUUGCUGAUGGUGGCGGGGUGUAUACUUCUUUCCUGGUUUUGUUGGGCGAUUUAACUUGGUUUUUUUCGUUGUCCUUAAUUGAGAAUGGUGGGUAGGAGUGAGCGUCGGGCCAGUAUGGUGAGUCGUAGUGGACACCUUACGCUCUGCCGGAACUGGACUUUUGGUCGAGGUUUUACGGCUACUGGUAGUUGCUGUAGCUGGAGUAGAACGAACUGCCCUCGGAUGCCGACCAGCUACUUUGAAUCCUUCUUCCGCUAAAAAUCAAUUAAUUUACCCAAUGAUGCUGGCAGUGGAUGCAGUGACUCUUCCAUUGGCCAUAGGAGAACAGGUAUAAAACGCUGGGAACCACCAACAUCGUCAUUAUUUGUAGGUUAUUUCCACAUCAAUCACAGCGUGUAAAGGAAACAACGCCAGCACUACAAAAAAAAAAACAUUAGAAAAGAGAAGAUCGAGUUGAAAACCGCGAGUAAAACCUCUACCCAACCAUCAUAUGUGUCAAGUCCACCUUCCUGCCUUGUAAGUUGACGCAGGCUGCUUCCCGGAAAGUUGAUGGUUUCAAGUAACAGUGGCCGUGUCACUCCCUUUUCCACUGAAUAAGAAUAGAAGAGAGGGCAUCUACAUUUUCAUUGAGCGUGAAACCGUAACCGUGGACGUUAGCAAACAUAACAUUUGAUAGCGCUGCUGCUGGAAUCAGAUCCGUUUUGGAUUUGACAGCAGAUAGACGCAGUACCUAUUUUGAAGACUUAAAAAUGGCUUUUUUACGGGGAUAUCCGACAGAAGUGAAGGUUUCCUUAUCCAAGCAAUUAAUUUGUACUGCUGCGGUCAUUCAAGCGAUUCCAUUCAACAUUCCACAUCGCAUUAUUCUCUUAUCUUAAAUAGAAAAAAAAAAUUAUUGCCAUCAUUGCUGCAUUCAAAAGACUACCAUCGUGUCAUUUUAACGUUAAUUAGGCAUGCCAAUAAAAGCAUUGUUUUUA